This 689-nucleotide ribosomal RNA is filed under the name uncultured bacterium. Its description in RNAcentral is "bacterial SSU rRNA". It matches the Rfam family "Bacterial small subunit ribosomal RNA", at positions 94 to 798 of the family's 1533-position model. The record is from RNAcentral.
AGUGACGUAAGGGUGCGUAACACGUAUGCAUCUACCCUCAACAGGAGUAUAGCUCGGGGAAACUCGGAUUAACACUCCAUAAUGUGGCAUCACUAAAACUCCGGUGGUUGAGGAUGAGCAUGCGUCUGAUUAGUUAGUUGGUGAGGUAACGGCUCACCAAGACGAUGAUCAGUAGGGGAACUGAGAGGUUGAUCCCCCACACUGGCACUGAGAUACGGGUCAGACUCCUACGGGAGGCAGCAGUAGGGAAUAUUGGUCAAUGGGUGCAAGCCUGAACCAGCCAUGCCGCGUGCAGGAAGACGGCCUUCGGGUUGUAAACUGCUUUUAUCUGGGGAUAAAAUGACCGUGCGCGGUUAAUUGAAGGUACCAGAUGAAUAAGCACCGGCUAACUACGUGCCAGCAGCCGCGGUAAUACGUAGGGUGCAAGCGUUGUCCGGAUUUAUUGGGUUUAAAGGGUGCGUAGGCGGCCUGUUAAGUCAGUGGUGAAAUCCAACAGCUCAACUGUUGAUGUGCCAAUGAUACUGACAGGCUUGAGUACAGACGAGGUAGGCGGAAUUGACAGUGUAGCGGUGAAAUGCAUAGAUAUUGUCAAGAACACCGAUAGCGAAGGCAGCUUGCUAGCCCUGUACUGACGCUGAGGCACGAAAGUUUGGGGAAUCAACAGGAUUAGAUACCCUGGUAGUUUCCAA